Molecule: ribosomal RNA, 1282 nt
Filed under: uncultured bacterium
Lineage: Bacteria
Description: bacterial SSU rRNA
Rfam family: Bacterial small subunit ribosomal RNA
Source: RNAcentral
GAGUGGCGGACGGGUGAGUAACGCGUGGGUAACCUGCCUCAUACAGGGGGAUAACAGUUGGAAACGACUGCUAAUACCGCAUAAGCACACAGGAUCACAUGAUCCGGUGUGAAAAACUCCGGUGGUAUGAGAUGGACCCGCGUCUGAUUAGCCAGUUGGCAGGGUAACGGCCUACCAAAGCGACGAUCAGUAGCCGACCUGGGAGGGUGACCGGCCACAUUGGGACUGAGACACGGCCCAAACUCCUACGGGAGGCAGCAGUGGGGAAUAUUGCACAAUGGGGGAAACCCUGAUGCAGCGACGCCGCGUGAGCGAAGAAGUAUUUCGGUAUGUAAAGCUCUAUCAGCAGGGAAGAAGAAUGACGGUACCUGACUAAGAAGCUCCGGCUAACUACGUGCCAGCAGCCGCGGUAAUACGUAGGGAGCAAGCGUUGUCCGGAUUUACUGGGUGUAAAGGGUGCGUGGGCGGAUGGGCAGUUCAGAAGUGAAAUCCAUGGGGUUUAACCCAUGAACUGCUUUUGAAACUGUUAGUCUUGAGUGAAGUAGAGGUAGGCGGAAUUCCCGGUGUAGCGGUGAAAUGCGUAGAGAUCGGGAGGAACACCAGUGGCGAAGGCGGCCUACUGGGCUUUAACUGACGCUGAGGCACGAAAGUGUGGGUAGCAAACAGGAUUAGAUACCCUGGUAGUCCACACUGUAAACGAUGAUUACUAGGUGUUGGAGGAUUGACCCCUUCAGUGCCGCAGUUAACACAAUAAGUGAUCCACCUGGGGAGUACGACCGCAAGGUUGAAACUCAAAGGAAUUGACGGGGGCCCGCACAAGCAGUGGAGUAUGUGGUUUAAUUCGACGCAACGCGAAGAACCUUACCAAGUCUUGACAUCCUGCGACGGUGCUGGAAACAGUACUUUCCUUCGGGACGCAGAGACAGGUGGUGCAUGGUUGUCGUCAGCUCGUGUCGUGAGAUGUUGGGUUAAGACCCGCAACGAGCGCAACCCUUAUGGUCAGUUACUACGCAAGAGGACUCUGGCCAGACUGCCGUUGACAAAACGGAGGAAGGUGGGGAUGACGUCAAAUCAUCAUGCCCUUUAUGACUUGGGCUACACACGUACUACAAUGGCGUUAAACAAAGAGAAGCAAGACCGCGAGGUGGAGCAAAACUCAGAAACAACGUCCCAGUUCGGACUGCAGGCUGCAACUCGCCUGCACGAAGUCGGAAUUGCUAGUAAUCGCAGAUCAGCAUGCUGCGGUGAAUACGUUCCCGGGCCUUGCACUCACCGCCCGUCA